This 253-nucleotide ribosomal RNA is filed under the name uncultured bacterium. RNAcentral describes it as "partial 16S ribosomal RNA". It matches the Rfam family "Bacterial small subunit ribosomal RNA", at positions 524 to 776 of the family's 1533-position model. The record is from RNAcentral.
UACGGAGGGUGCAGGCGUUGUCCGGAUUUAUUGGGUUUAAAGGGUGCGUAGGCGGCUAUUUAAGUCAGUGGUGAAAGACUCCGGCUCAACCGGAGCAGUGCCAUUGAUACUGGGUAGCUUGAGUGUUGGAGGGGUACAUGGAAUUGAUGGUGUAGCUGUGAAAUGCAUAGAUACCAUCAGGAACACCGAUAGCGAAGGCAUUGUACUGGCCAACAACUGACGCUGAUGCACGAAAGCAUGGGCAGCGAACAGG